This 381-nucleotide unclassified non-coding RNA is filed under the name soil metagenome. RNAcentral's name for it is "partial contains 5.8S ribosomal RNA, internal transcribed spacer 2, and large subunit ribosomal RNA". The stretch from base 1 to 120 matches the Rfam family "5.8S ribosomal RNA", at positions 35 to 154 of the family's 154-position model. The record is from RNAcentral.
GAUGAAGAACGUAGCGAAAUGCGAUAAGUAAUGUGAAUUGCAGAAUUCAGUGAAUCAUCGAAUCUUUGAACGCACCUUGCGCUCCUUGGUAUUCCGAGGAGCACGCCUGUUUGAGUGUCAUUAAUAUAUCAACCUCUUCAGCUUAUGCUUGUUGAGUGUUGGAUGGUGGGGGUUUGCUGGUGUCUUAUGAAGUCAGCUCCUCUGAAAUGCAUUAGCGGAACAAUUUGUUGACCGUUCAUUGGUGUGAUAAAAAUAUCUACGCUAUUGACGUCAGUCAGUUCAGCUUCUAACAGUCCAUUGACUUGGACAAAUUUUUCAUUAAUGUGACCUCAAAUCAGGUAGGACUACCCGCUGAACUUAAGCAUAUCAAUAAGCGGAGGA